Molecule: long non-coding RNA, 13213 nt
Filed under: Citrus maxima (pomelo)
Lineage: Eukaryota; Viridiplantae; Streptophyta; Magnoliopsida; Sapindales; Rutaceae
Description: long non-coding RNA (CMAX_LNC001233)
Source: RNAcentral
CUCCUUGAAUCUCCAUUAUGGUGCUUUUAUUGGAUAUAAGCCACCACAAAUCAUUUUCGUACUACCAUUAGGUUAAGCAUGAUUGAUGCUAAUUUUCUUCCUAAUGCAUCUAUCUAGACUGGGUUUCGAACAAUGAUUUGAUUAAGAAAACCAAAAUCCAACAAUAAUUGUGGAGUUAAUAUUAGUGAUUUACCUAUGAGUUUUUGAUCUAAUGGUUUGUAUAGUCCAAGAUCAUUUCAAUAUUGCUCUAUUGAAGCAUUUAGACAAUAUAUUAAACAAGUUAAUAAUUUAGGAAGACUAAUUGUAAUAAGAAGUUAUAUAGAUUGUAACAUUAAACUAAGAGUUAAUGAAAGAUACAAUAUAAGAAAUAGUGUAAACAAUACCUUCCUGAAUAAUUAAUUUAAAAGAAGUUAUAAUUAAAAAUACUAUAGAUAGUCGAAUAUUAACGUUAUUUACAUUUCACUGUUCUCAAUUUAACAAAUCUUGGUUAACAAAAAUACUAUAAUACCUUAAAAAUAAACAUAAGAUAAUACAUAAAAAUGUCCUAUUUAUUAGAAUCUAAAUUCAAGCAGUGGAUUAAAAGAAGUUUAAUUUGAAAUAAGAAUAGUCUUAAUUUAUUAGACAUUUCACAGUUCUAUAAGAAAUUUAAAAAGUAUAACAAAGAAACCAAUUCCUUUCAGAAAAGAAAAAGACAAAGAAACCAUUCGGAGUUUGACUCCGGGUAAAAACAGCAGCACUCGUAAUAAAAACAAUUCAAAAUUAAUUCUGAUAAAAAUUUGACUAUGUUGUAGCUUCUAAACAGAUCAGAUCUCCAGCGAUGUGACGUGUGUGUGUUUGUAUCAGGCAAAUGGUGACACGUCACCACUAAAAAAGUAAAAAAUUAUUAGCGUGAAUAAAUAAUUAAACAAUAAUAAAUAAAUUAAUGGAAAGAACCUGUCCUGCAAGUGCAAUCCAGCGAGACUGGCGACUCUUGUCAAAGCAGCUCUCCAUUUUAGCACCUUCUCUUGAUUCUCCUUAAACUCCUCUUCAUAUUUAGCAAACACUCUCUCAAAAUCUUCUCCUUUCUGCUUCCGCACAUCUGCGGGAUCUACUCCGUAAAAGACGGCGAAAACUUUACGAUCCUUCUUCUUGUUCCCGCACUCAACAAUUUUCGCAAGCUCAUCCAAACACCACGGGGAAGAAGCGUAGUUUUUCGAUAAGAUUACAAUCGAAACAUUGGAUUCUUCAAUUGCUUUCGAGAGCUCUGAUGAAAUCUCGUUUCCUCUGUCCAGUGUUUCGUCGUCCUUAAAUGCGACGAAUCCGUUGCGAAUUAAAGCGGCGUGGAGGUGGUCGGUGAAAUUGUUGCGAGUAUCUUCGCCUCUGAAACUCAAAAAGACGUCGUAUUUGGUUUGAAGAAUUUGAUGAUGAGUGGAAGAAGACGAAGUAUGAGAGGCCGCCAUUUCGAAGGCCUUUGGGAUCUGUGGCUAUUAGAAUUUAGAGAAGCGUUUAAGCAAAUGAAAAGAUUAUAAAAUAAAAAGUAAAAAAUAUGAAGCGGUGUCGGCGAGUUUUCGACAGCGACCUUGGACUGUCUUAGCAAUUUGAUUUGAUAGACCAAAUGACGUCCGAUGACCGUUUUGAGGAUAUCAUCAAUGCAGGGUGUGGACGGCGUGGCACAACGUAAGGGAUUACGUGAGUGAAUGAAAAUAUAAAGGGAUAUUAUUAUUUUUUUAUUAAAUGUAUUUUGACACAUUAAGUUAGUAUUAUUGUUUGGUAAAAUUAUUAAUUUAUUAUUAAAAGUUUAAACUGUUAGUAUUUUUUUAUUAUUUUGUUAAAAUUCAGUUAAUAUGUAAUAAAAAAUUUAUAAAAUGUCAAUUUUAUUCCUAAAACGUAAAAGACCAUGUAAUUAACCUUGAGCUUAUAAAAUUGAGUUUUUGCUUUAUCUCAUCAACAAGUUGAGUUUUAUGUGAUUUAAGAUUAAAAUAUUAAUCAAACUACAAAAUUAUGUCAUUUAAGAAAUUAUAUUUAAGUACUUAAUUAAAUUUUAGUUAACCAACAAGUGACUUAAAUUUAAGACUCUAGUUGAUCUCUCAUUUGAGAAUGUUAAUUCACUUACUUAGCAUUAUGUGGUAUUUUCUUUGAAGAUUUUGAAUUGUUUGAUGGUUGUGAGAGUAAAAUUUAAAAUAAUAAAAACUAAUAUAAUUAUCAUGUUAAUGUAAUGGUCUGAGUUUUAAAAAAUUUUAAAAAUAAAUAUUUUUUCCGUGUGAAAAGGUUUGAAAAAAGGUUUAUUCAACUAAAUAUUAUUUGGUCCCUAUCAUUUUUAAAGUUUAAUAUCUUACCACAAAAUUAACAUAUUUUUUAUUAAGCAUUAACUCCUCAAAAAAUUAAAUCCUAUGGCAUUUCGCUCCAAAAUUUCCAAUUCUUAAUUUGCCCUAACCAGAGGACCCAAUCCAUUUUUUUUUAUUUUCUCCUAAAGAUUAUUUGGAUGUGAAUAAAAAACUCAUCCACUAAAUUCGUGUGAUAAUUAUAUGGUCUUUUACGCUCUAGGGGUAAAAUUGAUCUUUUAUGAAUUUUUUGUUACAUAUUAACUGAGUUUUAACAGAAUGGUGGGAAAAUACUAACAGUUUAAACGUUUGGUGGUAAAUUAAUGGUUUUACCAAACCGUGGUACUGACAUGAUGUGUCAGAAUACCUUUGGUGGGAAAAUGAUGAUAUUCCAAAUAUAAAUAAAUAAAAUAGGGAGGGUUUUUGUAAUUUAAUUUUUUUUUAUUUUAAAUUGUGAUAUAAAAUUUGAGUGAUUGAUUUUAUAUUAUUUAAUACUAAAUAUAAAAAAUCAAAAUAAUAUAUAAUAAUAUUAAUUCAUCUAUCAUUAGAUUAUAUAAAAUUAAUGACUUAAAAUUUAUAUCAAAAUUUAAAUAAAUAUUCAAAAUAAUAUAUAACCCGAGUAAAAUAAAAGAAAACGACGAAUGCACAAUAACGAUUUUGUAUAACAAUUUGAAGUAUAACUACGGUGCAUCUAAUACACUAUAUAUCCGUUAUUUUAUUAUUAUUAUUAUUAAUUCUUUAUUAUUGUAAAUAAUUAAUCCAUUAUAUAUGUGUUUUAUGUUCUUUUGCCAUGUAUGCUAAAGAAAAUUCAAUACAUCUAAUGUUAAAUUACAUUCCUUUAAUGAAUAAUUUAUUCUGGACAACUAAAAUUUAUUUGAGAUGUUAGUUGAUGCAGUUCAAUAAAAUUAAUAAUUUGAUAGAUUAUAUUAAGAGAAAUUUUAAAAUACAUCAGAGAGUUACCAUGUCAGUCAUAUAAUAAAUAAAAAAUAUUAUAAAUUACAUAUUUUUGUUUUUAAAAAUUAUCAUAUAAGUAGUGGUUAUAUUAAAUUUCUCCUAGAUUAAAUAGUUUUAAUUAGAGAAAACCCCUUGAGCAAUGUUUUCUCUGAUGAUGUUGGUUUUGAUGAGGAAGCCUUAUGCUUUGAAAUGCGGCUUACUAGAGCGGUGGGUUUAUCUCCACUAAUAGUUGAGUUAGAUUCAUUUUGUAUGGUUCAAUUAAUUUUGGAUUGACGCAGUACUUGUACUGAGUGUCUGAGUUAUUCUAACUUAUUUCUUAAGUGAAGCAUUUACUCUCUCUAAAGCGUUCUUUCAAGUUAGACAUAUCUAAGGAGUUUGUAAUAAAGCAGCGGAUUUAUUAACAAAAUAUUCUAUCAAUUGUUUAGUUUCUUAUGUUUAGUUGGAAGAAUUUCAACCGUAUCUGUGUUUUUGUCUUUAAGACUAAUAGUCCUGAUGUUACAAAUAAUGUAAUAAAUGAAGUCAAAAUCCUCCACCUGUUCUCUGACCAAUUGGGUGGGGUUUGUUAAUUGGUUAGUAUAAUCAGUCAUCAGUUACAGACUCACAGUACGAGUAGCCAAUUUUUUUGUUAACAAUAAUAUGGAUGUAAAAGACUCCUAUAUUUAUUUUUAAGGUAUUCUAGUAUUAUUAUUAACUCAUAUCUGCUAAGUCAAGAACAACAAAAUGUAAAUAAUGAUAACAUUAAACUAUUUAUAAUAUUUCUAAUUAUAGCUUCUUCUAAAUUAAUCAUUCAGGAAUAUAUUUUCUAUACUAUUUCUUGUAUUUUAUCCUUCAUUAAAUGUUACUUACAUUCUUCUAUUUGCUACAACUCUUAGUUUAAUACUACAAUCUUUAUGACUUCCUAUUACGACUAGUCUUCUUAAAUUAUCAACUUGUUUAAUAUAUUCACAAAAUGCUUUAAUAGAACAAUUUUAUAAAGUAAAACAAGUAUAAUUAUCUAAAGGCAUGCAAGCAAAUUUUAAUUAAAAAAAUUGUUAUAAGCAGUUGUUCUUCUCUACUAGAUACUUCCAGAUUCUUUUAUAAACUUUCGAUAAAUUUCUUAAAUAACAGGUUUUGUCAACAAUAUUUACCACAUUCGUAAAAAGAAAAAAAAGUUGAAAAACUAUUUUGUAACAGUUCAGAGUAUAAAAUUAAACUUUUUUAUUAAAACAAAAGUUUUUGAAACAACCUUCUCCCUAUUUGGGGCAUGGAAAUCUCAAUACAAAACCUCCCUUUUUCUUUCAAAUGCCUAUCCUUCGGCUAAAAUGGUGCUUAGGAGCAAAAUUGUACACUCAAAGGCCAUUUUUUAAGGCUUUAGAUUUUUCUGAAAACCUAAAUUUUGUUCUAUAGUCUAAUCUUAUUCUUUACACAUAGAAAACAUUCUUUAAAUACAGAUAAAAGGUAAAAGAUUUGCAACAUAUAAACUUGUUCUUUUAUAAACAUAUAGAAGUUUACAAAAGAUUGAGUUUCUUUAUUAGAGAAGAACUAAGUAACUUAGUUGCAAUACAUUAUGCUGAAUAAAACUAACUUACGUCUAAUGACUUUUAGGAAAUUGAACAAGUGCCUUGGAACUUCUACAAAUUAAAUUUUGCUACAAGAUUUUUUUUUUUUAUCUUAUAAUCCUCCCUAAAGGAAAACAACUCCUAUUUAUAGAGUUCCUAAAAGCCUUUAUUCUUAUCUCUUGCUUUCCACGUGAAUGGACCAAAUUUUAGGGAGUCUGUCAUCCAUUGAGAAAAAGAUGUUGUCUUUAAGUCCACGCAAAAAAGUGAGUAUCGACAGAAUUAUCACCGUGACCUUUUCUUUUUAAAGUUGUACUUUAAAAAGGUAGUGAGUGAUGGUGAUUAAUUGGAGAGUGGACCACUACCGAGUCAAGGUUAUAACAUGUUGUCAAGGUUAUGGGCCUCAAUACCAUCUAAAUCGUUGUAGAAGUUUCUACCUUCAUCUUCUUCUUCACUUGAUUUAUCUUUUAUAAGAGAUUUGUAGGCCUUGAUAUCUUCUUUGUAUUGCUCUCGAUAGAAAUCUACAAGUUGAUAAUUUGUGGUCUUUGAAAGAAAAAGGAUUUCGGGUACAUCUUGGCAAGAGUAUAUCUUUUGAUUAAAAUCUUUAGCAAUCAAUUUAGAAUGACCAGUAAAUUCUCAAAUCUCAAAUUCCCUUUCUAUUAUUCUAGUUUUCCAAUGACUAAUCUACUUGGUUAAAGAAUUAGUUGUGUAGAUCCAAAGAAUAUUCAAACCUUUUAAGUUUUCAAGUUCUUUAAUGUUGUUAGAUCCCUUAAGAAAAAAUAUGAAUGUUGGGAUUGGAACUCAUAAUAUACAUCUCCUUGAAUCUUCAAGUUCUUUAAUGUUGUUAGAUCCCUUAAGAAAAAAUAUGAAUGUUGGGAUUGAAACUCAUAAUAUACAUCUCCUUGAAUCUCCAUUCUGGUGCCUUUUAUUGGAUAUAAGCCACCACAAAUCAUUUUCGUACUACCAUUAGGUUAAGCAUGGUUGAUGCUAACUUUCUUCCUAAUGCAUCUAUCUAGACUGGGUUUCAAACAAUGACUUGAUUAAGAAAACCAAAAUCCAACAAUAAUUGCGGAGUUAAUAUUAGUGAUUUUUCUCUGAGUUUUCGUUCUAUUGGUUUGUAUAGUCCUAGAUCAAUUCAAUAUUGUUCUAUUGAAGCAUUUAAAGAAUAUAUUAAACAAGUUAAUAAUUUAGGAAGACUAAUCGUAAUAAGAAGUUAUAUAGAUUGUAACAUUAAAUUAAGAGUUAUAACAAAUAUAAGAAUAGAAGUAGCAUUUAAUGAAAGAUACAAUAUAAAAAAUAGUGUAGACAAUAUAUUCCUGAAUGAUUAAUUUAGAAGAAGUUAUAAUAAGAAAUACCAUAGAUAGUCAAAUAUUAACAUUAUUUACAUUUCGCUAUUCUCAAUUUAAUAGAUCUGAGUUAACAAUAAUACUAUAAUACCUUAAAAAUAAACAUAAGAUAAUACAUAAAAAUAUCCUAUUUAUUAGAAUCUAAAUUCAAGUAGUCAAGGGAUUAAAAGAAGUUUGAUUUGAAAUAAGAAUAGUCUUAAUUUAUUAGACUUUUCACAGUUCUAUAAGAAAUUUAAAAAGUAUAACGAAGAAACCAAUUCUUCUUAGAAAAGAAAAAGACAAAGAAACCCAUUCAGAGUUUGACUCUGGGUAAAAACAACAGCACUCGUAAUAGUAACAAUUCAAAAUAAAUUCUGAUAAAAAUUUGACUAUGUUGUAGCUUCUAAACAGAUCAGAUCUCCAGCGAUGUGACGUGUGUGAGUUUGUAAUAGACAAUUGGUGACACGUCACUACUAAAUAACCAAAAAUUAUUACCAUGAAUAAAUAAUUAAACAAUAACAAAUAAAUUAAAGGAAAGAACCUGGGACGAUAGAUAAUUAAUUGAUUUUACUGAAUAGGGCUAUGGUAAAGUGCGCUGACAAAACCUCUCAACUGCCACCGGCGGCUGACCAUUCUACCGAGAAAGCAAAGUUUAAGGCUCAAGGGGCGGAUGGGGAUAACCCAUCUCCUCUGUCUUUCCGUGAUAUGCUAAUGGAUAUGCAAGAGCAAUCGGGUUGGGAAUUUUGGCCGGAAGGAUGAUUGGGAGUUGGAGGAGGAUGAUGUGACGUUCAGGGAGGAGGAACCUGUGCCAUUCAUAGCAUUCUCAAGCAGAGUUCAUGAACGGUUAGUGGAACCUUGGGAAAACUCAGUGGUGGUCAAAAUAUUAGGACGUAACUUGGGGUAUCGUGUUCUCAGUUCUCGGUUGAACAGGAUCUGGAGUUCUACCAUAGGGUUUGAAAUAAUUGAUUUAGGUAAUGAUUAUUUCUUGAUCCGUUUCAAUAAUAAAAAGGAUGUGGAGUAUGCCCUUACUGAGGGACCAUGGACGUUGAUGGGGCAUUAUUUAUCAGUACAGAAAUGGUCUCCAGACUUUGAUGUGGUUAAUAAUAAAAUCGACCGCAUCGUGGCUUGGAUCCGUCUGUCUGAGAUGAAUAUUCAAUUUUAUCAUAAAAGUAUUAUCCGGCGGCUAGGGCACAUUAUUAGUCCAGUCAUCAAAAUUCACUAUAACACAAUUAUGGCACAGAGAGGCAAAUUUGCUCGUCUUGCAGUUGAAUUGGAUCUUCCGAAGCCUCUAGUGUCACAGUUUAAUCUUGAAGGAAGAAUUCAAAAAGUGGAAUAUGAAAAUUUGCCAAUGAUUUGUUUCGGUUGUGGUAAAUUUGGCUACUUCAAAUAUGCAUGUUUUGAUAGUGCCGACAUUAACAACAUGGCCAAGGACAAUCCAGCCCCUCCUACGGAGACUGAGGGACAAGCCGUUGUGGUGGCUGAAGCAUCUGACUGCCGGGAGCCUAAGUUUGGAUCGUGGAUGAUGGUGGCCCGCCAGCCGCGCCCUCGUAAAGUCUUAGUUAAGGAUAAUGCUAAAAAUCCAGAUAAGGAUCGACACAUGCCAAAGACUAGCCAGUCUCGGUUUGGUGUUUUGGAAGACUUGGAUAUUGAGGAUAAGAUCUCUCAAGAUCAUAAUACAGACCCCGGUUCUCAACGGGAACCUAUGAUGCCUAUAUCGGAAAGUAUCCAAAUCCUAGCCCCAAAACCUCGGAGUAUGAAAAAGAAAAACCCUAGUCAACACACCCGAAAAUACCCCCCUCGCAAAGCUUCCAUCACUAUUCUUUCAAGUCAACCCGUAACUGAGAAUAUUGACCCCAAUAUUCAAAUUCCCACCAAUUAUUCCCACCAAAAUAACCAACCCCCAAUCAUGCAUGGCAUGCAUGCUCACCCUAAAUUUUCCAUGUCCGAUUCUUCUGCUCCAUCUAAUGCCGCUUCCACUUCCAUGCAUGGUAUGCAUGUUUAUCAACAGUAUACCCAAAAUAAUCCAGGCCCAUUUCCAGUACCCAUCACCCUUAACCCUCUUCACCAUAGUGCCGUAUCCUUUCCCAAGACUUUUUCCCCGAAGGCAAUUAAUCAUCCCCCCUCUCAACCUGUUUGUGACCCCUCUCUUGUUGGUGAACCACCUGACAAGGGCAUUCCGCAUGAUCUUUACAUUAUGGAAGCCAUUGUUGAGCCUGAAGACUUCCCAGUUGCAAGCAGGAGUGGCUCUCCUUUGUCUGCCAAUGAUAUCUUAUUUGUUGUUGAUUCUGGCAUGGAAGUUGAGGUUGAGGCUUUGGAGUCCUCUCAGUAAUUCCACUUGUUUCAUUUUCCAAUAUUUCUUAUGUUUAUUAAGACCAUGUUUUGGAAUUCUCAAGGUGCAGCGUCACCAUCUUUUCGUCGUUCCUUUUCAGCUUUAGUUCAAAAUUACAAGCCUUCCCUGGUUGUGUUGAUGGAGCCCCGUAUUAGUGGUUAUAAGGCUGAUCAUUUUAUUAAAAGAAGUGGUUUUGACAAAUCUUACUGGGUGGAAGCAGAGGGAUUUUCUUGUGGCAUUUGGGUCAUCUGGAAAGAUCUUUUUCAGGUGGAGAUUGUUGCUAGCCAUUCUCAGUUUGUUCAUCUUCGAAUUUCCAACAACAAUAAUGUUCUCUCUUGGUUGACAGCUAUUUAUACAAGCCCUAACCCAAUCUUAGAAAAUAUCUUUGGAGUGAGCUAGAUAAUUUAGCUCAAACGGUUUAUGGUUCCUGGAUUUUGGGUGGGGACUUCAACAUUAUUUUGUAUGAUUCGAAAAAGAAAUGUGGCUCCCCUACAAGCAUGGGAGCUUGCACUCUUUUCCAGUCUUGGUUCCACCUUCACAACAUGCCUGAUCUUCAAUUUCAUGGGCCCCGUUUUACUUGGUCUCAUGGAAGCCUAUUUAAAUGCCUUGAUCGCGUCAUUUGCAAUAAUGAGUGGGCUCGUACCUUUUCCAAUUCUUAUGUGCUUCAUCUUCCGAAAUUGAACUCUGAUCACAGACCUAUCCUGGUGCGAAGUACUGAUUUUUCUUCAAGAGUUUUGAGCUCUCAUCCUUUUCGGUUUCAAGCGGCUUGGCUUACCAAUGAAGGAUUCAAAGAUUUCGUGUCUGAAUCCUGGGAUCGGAAUCUUCAUUACUUAGAUGCUGCUAAUCAAUUUCGUCUUAAGGUUAUUGAAUGGAACAAGCGGUGUUUUGGGAAUAUAUUUUGGAGGAAAAAACGUUUAUUGGCUCGGCUGGGAGGGAUACAACGGGCUUUAGAAAGUUAUUACUCUAAGGGGUUAUUAAAUCUUGAAAAACAAUUAAAAGCGGAUCUGGAAGAGGUGCUCACUCAAGAGGAAAUUAUUUGGCAUCAGAAAUCUCGGAGAGACUGGCUGCUUCUCGGUGAUCGUAAUAUAUCUUACUAUCAUCAUAAAACUCUUUCUAGAAGGAGACAAAAUAAUAUAGCUGCCAUCCAAAAUAAUGCAGGGAUUUGGCUUUAUAAGGAAGUGGAAAUAAAAGCUCAUGUCAUUCAGUUCUACUCAACUUUGUUCUCCUGUGAAUCUCCUGACCUUCGGCAUUACCCCCAUCCGAAUUAUUUUCCUCUUAUCGAGGAUGACUUGCUCCAUACCUUAAAUAAGGGCGUGGAGGAUGCUGAGAUUCAACAAACCAUCUUCGGCAUGCACCCUCUGAAAGCCCCGGGACCUGAUGGUCUCCAUGCCUUUUUUUAUCAGACGCAGUGGAACACUGUGGGCUCUCCUCUGUGUCAUUUGGUGAAAGAUGUAUUCCACGAUAAAUAUCUUCCUGUGGGGCUCAAUUCCACGCUGAUUGCUCUCAUUCCCAAGACAGAAAGCCGUUCCUCAUUGAAGAUGUACCGUCCUAUCUCCCUUUGCAAUGUUGCUUAUAAGACUAUCACCAAGGUGCUGGCUAAUCGCCGUCAAUCUAUUUUACCCUCUCUGAUUGGCCCCCAUUAAACUAGCUUCAUCCCUGGUCGUCAUAUCACGAAAAACAUCGUGAUUGCUCAAGAGGUUGUGCACUCUAUGCGCAAGAAGAUGGACUCUACUGGUUUUAUGGCUAUAAAAGUUGAUUUAGAAAAGGCUUAUGAUCGUCUCAGUUGGGAAUUCAUCAGUGAUACUCUGCGUGAAGCUCGAAUUCCUUCCGAUCUUAUUCAAGUAAUUAUGGCAUGCAUCACUUCGACUACUAUGAGGGUUUUGUGGAAUGGGGAGGCUACGAAUGAAUUUUCUCCUUCCCAAGGAAUUCGUCAGGGCUGUCCAUUAUCUCCUUAUCUCUUUGUCCUUUGUAUCGAACGGCUCAGUCAUGGGAUUCACAAUGCCAUUAGUGCUGGGAAAUGGCGUCCGAUCAUGUUAUCUCGCCAUGGCACACUUUUAUCUCAUCUCUUUUUUGCUGAUGAUCUUCUUUUGCUUGCAGAGGCUACGGUUGAGCAAGCUAGAGUUAUUUCAGCAGUGUUAGCAAAUUUUUGUGUUUGCUCUAAUGCCAAAGUUAAUACAAGUAAAACUCUUCUUUAUUUUUCAAAGAACAUGGGUGCUAAAGAUGUCUCCACAAUUUCGGGUCUACUUGGCUUCUCAGUUACUUCUGAUCUUGGUAAAUACCUUGGGGUCUCUCUUCAUCAUUCAAGGGUCUCUACCAAUAUGUAUUAAGAGAUCAUUGAUAAGGUGGAGAAGCGGUUGUCGGGUUGGAAUGCCUCUCACUUGUCCUUGGUUGGUUGUAUCACUCUAGUUCAGUUAGUUCUCCAGGCAAUUCCCAUUUAUGUUAUGCAGACUGUUUCCCUUCCUCGUGGUGUUUGUGAGAGAAUUGAUAGAGCUUGCAGGAGGUUUAUUUGGAGCGGUUCGUCUCCUCAGCAGAAGCUCAACAUGGUUAGUUGGAAGAAUGUGUGCAAGCUACUGGCGGUCUUGGCUUCAAGUCUUUGGCAAUGAUGAAUCGGGCAUUACACAUGAAGCUAGCUUGGGACAUAAUCUCCUCUCCAAAUAGUUUAUGGGUCCAGGUCUUUAUUUCCAAGUACAAAGUCGAUCCUCAUAACUUGCCUCCCGUUCUUCCAACACGCUAUGGCUCUCACUUGUGGAAGUCUCUUGGGUAGGUUUGGAGCGAGGUUCUUGCGAGCAGGCGCUGGAGUUUGGGUGAUGGACAAUCUGCUCGUUUUUUGUGGGAUCUUUGGGUUACUGAUAAUGUUCCCUUAAUCGCCUACGCAACAAAUACUAUACCUGUGGGAAUUUUGGAAUGUAAGGUGGCAGAUUUUGUUAAUGUAAAUGGGGCUUGGUGUUGGUCCCGGUUUGAUCGCUAUCUUCCCAACCAUAUUAUUCUCCAAAUAGCUGCUCUUCAUCCCCCUUCUCACGUGAAAGGCAUGGACACUAUAUUUUGGGCUCAUUCGAAACACGGAGCUUUUUCUACAAGCUCUGCGUAUUUGGCUCUCUCUGAGUAUAAUCCAAAGUCUGAAGAUAGAGAUUGGAAGUUAGUCUGGACAUGGAAAGGCCCUCAAAGCGUGAGAAUUUUCUUGUGGCAGGCGUUUCACGCUGGUUUGAAAACUAAGGCUGAGUUGGCUCGGCGGCACUUACCCACCUCGCCUCGUUGUGAUCGUUGUGGGGCUAUGUGUGAAGAUAUUACUCAUGCUCUACGUGAUUGCUGGUUGGUUAAGCAGUUUUGGCUCAACAUUAUUCAUAUAAGUAAACGACAUAACUUCUUUAAUUCUUAGCUUAAUCUAUGGCUCUGCUUGUGGCUGAUAAUAGUAAGGUGGGGAAUGUUUCGAAUUGGGCUGUUUUUUUUUUUUUUUUUGCGUCGCGUUAUGGAGGAUCUGGUAUUGGCGAAAUCAGUUUCUCUUUAGCAAAUUGAUGUUGGACCCUUUGGCUUUGUUGGUGGAUGUUCAUACAAGAGCCGAGGAGAUUCACAAGCUUCAUAACCCACCUGUUGAUUACUAGGAAUAUUAGGGCUCACAAGUGAAUUUCUUGGCAUCCUCCUGAGUGGCCCUGGUGUACUCUGAGUACGGAUGGUGCUCACAAGUCUCACGGGACUUCCACUGCAGGUGGUUUAAUUCGGGAUCAUUUAGGACGUUGGCUAACAGGCUUUGGGAUGAUGAUUGGUUCUUGCUCUGUUACUGUCGCGGAGCUAUGGGGCUUGUAUCAAGGGAUUCAGCUUGCAUGGAAUUCUGGCAUCCGCAGAUUGAAAGUUGAAACGGAUAGCCUAUGCAUUACUCAAUUGGUGGCUAGACCUUCGGUGUUGACCAAUGAAUAUGCUCCCUUAGUCCAGUCUAUAAAAGAUUAUCUCAAAUUAGAUUGGCAUGUUUCCAUCUCUCAUAUCUAUAGAGAAACAAAUUUUGUUGCAGAUUAUAUGACGAACCUCGCCUUUUCUAUUUUGCUAGGCCUUACUGUGUACCCUUCCCCUCCUUUGGGCGUUAGGGCUCUAUUAUUGCAUGACUCUUACAGGGUUUCUCACCCCAUUCGUUGUUCUCUAGCUCUUUUUAGAGCUCCAGUUAAUCAAAAAAAAAAAUAUUGAAGGAAAGAACCUGUCCUGCAAGUGCCAUCCAGUGAGACUGGCGACUCUUGUCAAAGCAGCUCUCCAUUUUAGUACAUUCUCAUGAUUCUCCUUAAACUCCUCUUCAUAUUUAGCAAACACUCUCUCAAAAUCUUCUCAUUUCUGCUUCCGGACAUCCGUCGGAUCUACGCCGUAAAAGACGGCGAAAACUUUACGAUCAUUCCUCUUGUUCCCGCACUCAAAAAUCUUCGCAAGCUCAUCCAAACACCACGGGGAAGAAGCGUAGUUUUUCGAUAAGAUUACAAUCGAAACAUUGGAUUCUUCAAUUGCUUUCGAGAGCUCGAUGAAAUCUCGUUUCCUCUGUCCAGUGUUUCGUCGUCCUUAAAUGCGACGAAUCCGUUGCGAAUCAAAGCGACGUGGAGGUGGUCGGUGAAAUUGUUGCGGGUAUCUUCGCCUCUGAAACUCAAAAAGACGUCGUAUUUGGUUUGAAGAAUUUGAUGAUGAGUGGAAGAAGACGAAGUAUGAGAGGCCGCCAUUUCGAAGGCCUUUGGGAUCUGUGGCUAUUAGAAUUUAGAGAAGCGUUUAAGCAAAUAAAAAGAUUAUAAAAUAAAAAGUAAA